Molecule: long non-coding RNA, 994 nt
Filed under: Lactuca sativa (garden lettuce)
Lineage: Eukaryota; Viridiplantae; Streptophyta; Magnoliopsida; Asterales; Asteraceae
Description: long non-coding RNA (LSAT_LNC000401)
Source: RNAcentral
CGUCUUUAACCUCCCCAAUAUAUCUUCAAACUCCACUUCUCCCUACCACGUUCGUCCCCUUUCACAUAUAACCUUCAGCACGCCUCCGAGUUCAACUGUCCACCUCAAUAAGCCCUAAACAUCAGGUAGGUGUAGUAACUAUUGUGCAUAUAUAAGAGGUUGCUUUUUUGAAUAUAUGCGUUAUUCCAUCGCUUGAAAUUUGUCUAACGGUUGAUACAUCAUGGACCAGAAAUUGGCUGAUAAGGAUUUUCUGUUUGAAGAAAUGGCACCCAAGGUAAAAUUUAUUGAAAAGAUGUUUGGAUUUUGAUUCCUGUCUUUGAAAAUUUAUAAUUUUUUACUGCUUAAUUGUAGCUAUCUCAACUCAAAAUUGGUUAAAUCGUUGGUUUUAUUAUAUUGUUCAAUAUAACUAUCGUUUGCUUUUGGAAAUUUGCUAUGUUUUUUUAUAUAUGAUUAUAAUUUAUAAUCACUUACACAAUGAAGAACACUGUAUCCGUUCAUGAAAAUGCCAACCUUCAAACAAUAUCAGCUAAAUCCAUUGAUUUUGAAAGUAACUCUACUGAGAUAAUUGAGUAUUCUCCUCACUUCGGUCCUUUUAAAUCGAUUUUGGAAAGGGUUAUUUCGGAAGGGGUAGAAAUUCAUCGUCUUUUCAUCAAUUGUUAAUAGUUUAUGAUGUUUUAGUUUUGUUUUAGGUUUCUACAAUUGCUAAAGAAGAUCAACAACUCGAAAGGAAAAGAAAAAGAGUUUUAGCUCUAACAUAGUGGAAGUAGGAUGAAGUUGUGGACCUCUGCUCAGAUGAUGAUGAGAAAGAGGAUGUCCCCACCAUACAAGCAAAAAAGAAAGUCAGGGUUUGCAUUUACAAUCGAAAUCGACCCAUGAAACUCCUUGACAAGUCGGAUGUGGAGGAUUGAUGUUUCUAUAAGUUGGUUUUAAUAUGUUUUUCUUAUUUUCAAUAUUAUGUUUAGUUGUUGUUAUCAAUCUAUGUUUCAAACCUCUU